RNAcentral lists this long non-coding RNA (509 nucleotides) under Macaca fascicularis (crab-eating macaque). Its description in RNAcentral is "lncRNA (ENSMFAG00000047748.1)". Lineage: Eukaryota; Metazoa; Chordata; Mammalia; Primates; Cercopithecidae. The record is from RNAcentral.
UAGGAACAAAACCGAGGCGUGUUUCCGCACAAUCAGAAGGCGACUGGCGCCUUGUCAACCAGACGCAGGGUGGUGGCGGGAGCCGAACCCGUUUGUCUCUGUACCGCCAGCCAGGGCUGGGCUGACCCUGCAGGUGCCGGCGUUAAUUCAUGUCACACCUCGCGCCUCCAUCCUGCGUGGUAUGAAAACUAGGCGCCAAUUUCGUAAUAAAGACUUGUUUCCGACGAGGCCUGGUUUGGGGUGGGGGCACAGAUCUUCAUUAGGGCCCCAUUCCCGGGCCACGCUCGUUACAGAGCACAGGUACUGGCUAAAUGUGUCCGAUCAUUCAUCAUGAUUUCGCCCUCCACUUUGUCACAGCGUGGGGAUUUAAGGAAGAUAGAUGGUACAAGAUGUUGUCUCCUCCGCAGACGCUUUCUGCUCUGGUCGGGAUUGAACUCGUCUCUCUGGGAGAGUUUAAGCAACUUGGCACCAAAUCUACACUAACAUGGGGGCUGCCUGCCUACCACGUG